Ictalurus punctatus (channel catfish) is the source of this 4001-nucleotide long non-coding RNA. RefSeq lists it as uncharacterized. The transcript has 2 exons. The record is from RefSeq and is a predicted model, not a curated record. Lineage: Eukaryota; Metazoa; Chordata; Actinopteri; Siluriformes; Ictaluridae.
GAGAGAUUCUGUGGUCCGGAUUGAGUUUGAAGUUCAUUCCACCACUGAGGAACAGUUAGUGUGAAGGUUCUGGAAAGGGACCUUGCGCCACGCUGAGUAGGAACUACUAAGCGUCGGUCGUUAACCGUUCGCAGGUUGCGUGAGGGAACGUACGCCUUCAGGAGAGAGUUGAGGUAGGAGGGAGCUGUUCCAGACAAGGUCUUGUAGGUGAGCAUCAAGGCCUUGAAUUUGAUGCGGGCGGAUACAGGAAGUCAGUGGAGGGAGAUGAAGACGGGUGUGACUUGGGUUCUCUCGGGCUGGUUGAAGACGAGGCGUGCGGCUGCAUUCUGAAUCAUCUGAAGGGGUUUGAUGGAGCUGCCGGGAGGCCCGAGAGUAGUGAGUUGCAGUAGUCCAGUUUUAAUAUGACAAGAGCCUGGACUAGUAUCUGUGUAGCCAACAUCGAAGAACAUCGUUAUCACCUAUGAUAAAAAAAAAUAGGUUGUGCUUUUGCAUAUGCAUGUGCUCGUCUUUUUAUUGUGUGUAUCUCUGCGAGAACAAAAAACUUCGAUGUCUUCUAUACAUAAGGCUUACAAACUUUUUUUAAGGCAGAGCUCCACCCAAUGAAAUGGUGGCCUUUCCAGCAGGCAGGAGCCCAGAACUCAGCCAAAUAAAAGUCUCUCCAGGGUACAAAAGAUCUUUGCACUGCUUUUACGUGAACUCCACCUAACAUUUCCCAUCGUCCGACAAAGUUCCAUGACAUCAAUGUUAAGAGUUCUUUACUGCUUGGAAAUUGGACAUUUUGCCAAAAUUCCUGAAGACCGGAGACAAGUCGAGUCGGGAAACGGGACUGAUUAGAAACACAGCAGAGACGGUGGCUUCCGCGCGUCUGCUCUCGCUAGAGAGAGAGAGAACUGAUUUUCAGUGUGCAGUAAUUUCACAGUGUCUCAGUACUUGAACAUGAAUGCACACCUUAUAUACUCACAAACAAAGCAAUGUAGACCGCAUCACUUUUAAAUUCUUGAUUUUGAUUGGUCAGAACGUCAGUGGGUCAUACUUAGCCAUUUCUGUAGUAAGAGCUUAUACAAGGACAUCAAAUCUAGAGUCACUCUAAUUGAGGGUCAGAGAAAGUAUACCAUGUAGAAAAAAGUCUGUGUUGGAAUAUAAGCUGCUAUAAAUGUUCAUAAAGGGCUUAUGUAGGUGUCAUUUUGGAACAAGAGAUGUUAUUAAAUGUUUAUAAAGGGCUUAUGUAGGUGUCGUGUUGGAACAAGAGAUGUUAUUAAAUGUUUAUGAAGGGCUUAUGUAGGUGUCAUGUUGGAACAAGAGAUGUUAUUAAAUGUUUAUAAAAUGCAUAGGUAGUCAUGUUGGAACAAGAGAUAUUAAAUGUUUAUAAAGGGCUUAUGUAGUGUCAUGUUGGAACAAGAGAUGUUAUUAAAUGUUUAUCAAACGCAUAUGUAGUCAUGCUGGAACAAGAGAUGUUAUUAAAAGUUUAUAAAGGGCUUAUGUAGGUGUCGUGUUGGAACAAGAGAUGUUAUCAAAUGUUUAUAAAGGGCUUAUGUAGUGUCAUGUUGGAAGAAGAGAUGUUAUUAAAUGUUCAUAAAGGGCUUAUGUAGUGUCAUGUUGGAACAAGAGAUGUUAUUAAAUGUUCAUAAAGGGCUUAUGUAGUGUCAUGUUGGAACAAGAGAUGUUAUUAAAUGUUCAUAAAGGGCUUAUGUAGUGUCAUGUUGGAACAAGAGAUGUAAUCAAAUGUUUAUAAAACGCAUAUGUAGUCAUGCUGGAACAAAAGAUGUUAUCAAAUGUUUAUAAAGGGCUUAUGUAGUGUCAUGUUGGAACAAGAGAUGUUAUUAAAAGUUUAUAAAGGGCUUAUGUAGGUGUCAUGUUGGAACAAGAGAUGUUAUCAAAUGUUUAUAAAGGGCUUAUGUAGUGUCAUGUUGGAAGAAGAGAUGUUAUUAAAUGUUCAUAAAGGGCUUAUGUAGUGUCAUGUUGGAACAAGAGAUGUUAUUAAAUGUUCAUAAAGGGCUUAUGUAGUGUCAUGUUGGAACAAGAGAUGUUAUCAAAUGUUUAUAAAACGCAUAUGUAGGUGUCAUGUUGGAACAAGAGAUGUUAUCAAAUGUUUAUAAAACGCAUAUGUAGUCAUGCUGGAACAAAAGAUGUUAUCAAAUGUUCAUAAAGGGCUUAUGUAGUGUCAUGUUGGAACAAGAGAUGUUAUCAAAUGUUUAUAAAGGGCUUAUGUAGUGUCAUGUUGCAACAAGAGAUGUUAUCAAAUGUUUAUAAAGGGCUUAUGUAGGUGUCAUGUUGGAACAAGAGAUGUUAUUAAAUGUUUAUAAAGGGCUUAUGUAGUGUCAUGUUGCAACAAGAGAUGUUAUCAAAUGUUUAUAAAGGGCUUAUGUAGGUGUCAUUUUGGAACAAGAGGAGUUAUUAAAUGUUUAUAAAGGGCUUAUGUAGGUGUCAUUUUGGAACAAGAGGAGUUAUUAAAUGUUUAUAAAGGGCUUAUGUAGGUGUCAUGUUGCAACAAGAGAUGUUAUCAAAUGCUUAUAAAGGGCUUAUGUAGGUGUCAUGUUGCAACAAGAGAUGUUAUCAAAUGCUUAUAAAGGGCUUAUGUAGUGUCAUGUUGCAACAAGAGGAGUUAUUAAAUGCUUAUAAAGGGCUUAUGUAGGUGUCAUGUUGCAACAAGAGAUGUUAUCAAAUGUUUAUAAAAGGCUUAUGUAGUGUCAUUUUGCAACAAGAGAUGUUAUUAAAUGUUUAUAAAGGGCUUAUGUAGGUGUCAUUUUGGAACAAGAGGAGUUAUUAAAUGUUUAUAAAGGGCUUGUGUAGGUGUCAUUUUGGAACAAGAGGAGUUAUUAAAUGCUUAUAAAGGGCUUAUGUAGGUGUCAUGUUGCAACAAGAGAUGUUAUCAAAUGUUUAUAAAGGGCUUAUGUAGUGUCAUGUUGCAACAAGAGAUGUUAUCAAAUGUUUAUAAAGGGCUUAUGUAGGUGUCAUGUUGCAACAAGAGAUGUUAUCAAAUGUUUAUAAAGGGCUUAUGUAGUGUCAUGUUGCAACAAGAGAUGUUAUCAAAUGUUUAUAAAGGGCUUAUGUAGUGUCAUGUUGCAACAAGAGAUGUUAUCAAAUGUUUAUAAAGGGCUUAUGUAGUGUCAUGUUGCAACAAGAGAUGUUAUUAAAUGCUUAUAAAGGGCUUAUGUAGUGUCAUGUUGCAACAAGAGAUGUUAUUAAAUGUUUAUAAAGGGCUUAUGUAGUGUCAUGUUGCAACAAGAGAUGUUAUUAAAUGUUUAUAAAGGGCUUAUGUAGGUGUCAUGUUGGAACAAGAGAUGUUAUCAAAUGUUUAUAAAGGGCUUAUGUAGGUGUCAAGUUGGAACAAGAGAUGUUAUCAAAUGUUUAUAAAGGGCUUAUGUAGUGUCAUGUUGCAACAAGAGAUGUUAUUAAAUGUUCAUAAAGGGCUUAUGUAGUGUCAUGUUGCAACAAGAGAUGUUAUCAAAUGUUUAUAAAGGGCUUAUGUAGUGUCAUGUUGCAACAAGAGAUGUUAUUAAAUGUUUAUAAAGGGCUUAUGUAGUGUCAUGUUGCAACAAGAGAUGUUAUUAAAUGUUUAUAAAGGGCUUAUGUAGUGUCAUGUUGCAACAAGAGAUGUUAUUAAAUGUUUAUAAAGGGCUUAUGUAGUGUCAUGUUGCAACAAGAGAUGUUAUUAAAUGUUUAUAAAGGGCUUAUGUAGUGUCAUGUUGCAACAAGAGAUGUUAUCAAAUGUUUAUAAAGGGCUUAUGUAGGUGUCAUGUUGCAACAAGAGAUGUUAUUAAAUGUUUAUAAAGGGCUUAUGUAGUGUCAUGUUGCAACAAGAGAUGUUAUUAAAUGUUCAUAAAGGGCUUAUGUCGGUGUCACAUUUCUUUGUCCUUUGCUAAAUGAAUAAGAAUAAUAACAAAAGGAAUAAUUCAUGAACGUAACUAUAUACAUAUAUAUGUAUGCUCCAGUUUCCUGAGUGUAAGAGUGACUACCCGGGCUCGUGAGCAAUUGCUGACUGAAUAAAACACUUACGUGCA